This 352-nucleotide long non-coding RNA is filed under the name Elaeis guineensis (African oil palm). RNAcentral's name for it is "long non-coding RNA (EGUI_LNC050839)". The record is from RNAcentral. Lineage: Eukaryota; Viridiplantae; Streptophyta; Magnoliopsida; Arecales; Arecaceae.
GGGCCAAAUCUUUUCCUUCUUAUAAAUCAUUUAAAUCUUCUAGUAAUCAUGGCUAUUUCAUUGUCGUUGUUGGAUUCCUCCAACAUAUCACUUUCAUCAUCUUCAACGGCCACAGAUUUUAAGAUAAUUGUUCUUCUUUUCUUCACCUCUUCUUCCAUAUUCUGAUUCAUGCUUAACUCAUGGGUUAUGAGUGAGUCGAUAAGCUUUCUAAAGAUAAUUUAUUGAGAUCUUUAGCUUCUUAAAUUGUAGUCCCUUUGGCUUCCAAAUUUUUUACCAAUAAUCUGAUAAUUUUGAGAACAAGCUCACUAUUAGUAUAGUUCUUACCAAAAUUUUUCAAACUGUUUAUAAUAUC